CGAGGGCUUCUUUGGCUAAUUUCUGGCCUAUUUAUUAGUGGAAUUUGAUUGGCAACCGUUCAGUGGAAUGGAAAAGGUCGGAGAAGAAGGGUUGGAGCUAACCUUAGGCUCUGGUGGCAUCUAUAGGUCAAUAUUUUAGAGGGUGCAAUGACAAGAUACUGCGAACUCAAAAGGAGAAAAGAGAGAGAAAGAAGAAGAAAGCGG
Molecule: long non-coding RNA, 204 nt
Filed under: Elaeis guineensis (African oil palm)
Lineage: Eukaryota; Viridiplantae; Streptophyta; Magnoliopsida; Arecales; Arecaceae
Description: long non-coding RNA (EGUI_LNC004971)
Source: RNAcentral